RNAcentral lists this ribosomal RNA (210 nucleotides) under uncultured bacterium. RNAcentral describes it as "partial 16S ribosomal RNA". It matches the Rfam family "Bacterial small subunit ribosomal RNA", at positions 111 to 334 of the family's 1533-position model. The record is from RNAcentral.
UAUCGCGUAGGGAUUUAUCGUUGGGUGGGGGAUAACCGCGGGAAACUGCGGCUAAUACCGCAUGACGCCUGUGGGCCAAAGGCAGCAAUGUCGCCUGAUGAGGAGCCUGCGUCCGAUUAGCUAGUUGGUUGGGUAAUGGCUGACCAAGGCUGUGAUCGGUAGCUGGUCUGAGAGGAUGAUCAGCCACACUGGGACUGAGACACGGCCCAG